GUGCCAGCCGCCGCGGUAAUACGAACCGUCCAAACGUUAUUCGGAAUCACUGGGCUUAAAGGGUGCGUAGGCGGCCCGGUAAGUUGGGUGUGAAAUCCCUCGGCUCAACCGAGGAAUUGCGCCCAAAACUGUCGGGCUUGAGGGAGACAGAGGUGAGCGGAACUUAGGGUGGAGCGGUGAAAUGCGUUGAUAUCCUAAGGAACACCGGGGGCGAAAGCGGCUCACUGGGUCUCUUCUGACGCUGAGGCACGAAAGCUAGGGGAGCGAACGGGAUUAGAAACCCUUGUAGUCC
RNAcentral lists this ribosomal RNA (292 nucleotides) under uncultured bacterium. Its description in RNAcentral is "partial 16S ribosomal RNA". It matches the Rfam family "Bacterial small subunit ribosomal RNA", at positions 505 to 796 of the family's 1533-position model. The record is from RNAcentral.